RNAcentral lists this ribosomal RNA (484 nucleotides) under uncultured Flavobacteriaceae bacterium. Its description in RNAcentral is "bacterial SSU rRNA". It matches the Rfam family "Bacterial small subunit ribosomal RNA", at positions 28 to 505 of the family's 1533-position model. Lineage: Bacteria; Pseudomonadati; Bacteroidota; Flavobacteriia; Flavobacteriales; Flavobacteriaceae. The record is from RNAcentral.
GAUGAACGCUAGCGGCAGGCCUAACACAUGCAAGUCGAGGGGUAACAGGGAGUGCUUGCACUUUGCUGACGACCGGCGCACGGGUGCGGAACGCGUAUGGAACCUGCCCCUGUCAGGGGAAUAGCCCAGAGAAAUUUGGAUUAAUGCCCCAUGGUAUCGAACCACCGCAUGGUGAUUUGAUUAAAGAUUUAUCGGACAGGGAUGGCCAUGCGUGCCAUUAGCUUGUUGGUAAGGUAACGGCUUACCAAGGCAACGAUGGUUAGGGGCCCUGAGAGGGGGAUCCCCCACACUGGUACUGAGACACGGACCAGACUCCUACGGGAGGCAGCAGUGAGGAAUAUUGGACAAUGGCCGAAAGGUUGAUCCAGCCAUGCCGCGUGCAGGAUGACGGCCCUAUGGGUUGUAAACUGCUUUUGUACGGGAAGAAACCACCCCUCGUGAGGGGAACUGACGGUACCGUACGAAUAAGGACCGGCUAACUCCG